This 473-nucleotide ribosomal RNA is filed under the name uncultured bacterium. RNAcentral's name for it is "bacterial SSU rRNA". It matches the Rfam family "Bacterial small subunit ribosomal RNA", at positions 28 to 507 of the family's 1533-position model. The record is from RNAcentral.
GAUGAACGCUGGCGGCGUGCCUCAAACAUGCAAGUCGAGCGGGGCUAUGUAAUAUCGCAAGGUAGAACAUAGCCUAGCGGCGAACGGGUGAGUAACACGUGGGUAACCUGCCUGGAAGACAGGGAUAACGAUUCGAAAGGGUCGCUAAUACCUGAUAAUAUCCUUUCAUCGCAUGGUGAUAGGAAGAAAGGGGAAACCCGCUUUCAGAUGGGCCCGCGUCCCAUCAGCUAGUUGGUAAGGUAAAGGCUUACCAAGGCGACGACGGGUAGCCGGUCUGAGAGGAUGUACGGCCACACUGGGACUGAGAUACGGCCCAGACUCCUACGGGAGGCAGCAGUUGGGAAUCUUAGGCAAUGGACGAAAGUCUGACCUAGCGACGCCGCGUGAGGGAAGAAGGCCUUGGGUUGUAAACCUCUGUCAUGGGGAAGAAGGAAGUGACGGUACCCCAAGAGGAAGCCCCUGCUAACUACGUG